Ictalurus punctatus (channel catfish) is the source of this 407-nucleotide long non-coding RNA. NCBI's taxonomy places the organism in Eukaryota, Metazoa, Chordata, Actinopteri, Siluriformes, Ictaluridae. The record is from Ensembl.
CACGGCACCAUCCCGAGGACCUAAGUAGUACAAAUCGAGGCACUACUGUAGAGGUUGUGGUUCUGUGCUAAUGACUGGAAGGUUGUGAGUUUAAAUCCCAGGACUCCAAGAGACCCACAAGUUCUAUCCUUUGAUGGUUCAGCCAAAUGCUCUGAUUAUAAAUGACAAAAUGGAGCCUUGGUGUGUUUUCCCCCACAGUGCAGUUCUUUAGGCAGGGGGAGGAGUCUCCAGUGUCGGCACUUCGUAAUGACCAGAGGUAGGAACUAAAGUUGUGAGUGUGGAAAUGAAGAAACCUCGGCCCACACAUGCCUUUGGAGCGAUGAGCGAUAGAAUCGAGAAAAUCCGAAUGCAUAGGCCGCUUUGCUGAAUGCAGGUAAGGAGUUCAAUAAAAGUGGAUUUUAUUAUCA